AUGUACACAGGUCACAGAGUGGUGGAGGCUGACGGCUCGGAGGAGGUACAUGACAAGAUCAUAUUCGGCGCACAUGCACCUGACGUUUUGAGGGUGCUAGGAGACGAAGCAACACACGAGGAGUUGAGGAUCCUGGGUGCUUUCCAAUAUGUCCAGAGCGACAUGUACCUACAUUGUGAUGAAAGCCUUAUGGCAUGGAAUUCGUCGACAUGGAGCACCUGCAACUUCCUGGGAACAACCAGCGCUAGAGAGUUGCACUGCUUUAAUUCGGCGGCUUGGUUGUCGGGAUUGUCUUACUUACAUGAGCAUUGA
RNAcentral lists this ribosomal RNA (312 nucleotides) under Triticum aestivum (bread wheat). Its description in RNAcentral is "partial small subunit ribosomal RNA". The record is from RNAcentral. Lineage: Eukaryota; Viridiplantae; Streptophyta; Magnoliopsida; Poales; Poaceae.